AACGAACGCUGGCGGCAGGCCUAACACAUGCAAGUCGAACGCCCCGCAAGGGGAGUGGCAGACGGGUGAGUAACGCGUGGGAACGUGCCUUUCGGUUCGGAAUAGGCCGGGGAAACCCGGGUUAAUACCGGAUACGUCCUUCGGGAGAAAGAUUUAUCGCCGAGAGAUCGGCCCGCGUCUGCUUAGCUAGUUGGCGGGGUAAUGGCCCACCAAGGCGACGAUCAGUAGCUGGUCUGAGAGGAUGAUCAGCCACACUGGGACUGAGACACGGCCCAGAUUCCUACGGGAGGCAGCAGUGGGGAAUAUUGGACAAUGGGCGCAAGCCUGAUCCAGCCAUGUCGCGUGAGUGAUGAAGGCCCUAGGGUUGUAAAGCUCUUUCGGCGGGGACGAUAAUGACGGUACCCGCAGAAGAAGCCCCGGCUAACUUCGUGCCAGCCGCCGCGGUAA
This 447-nucleotide ribosomal RNA is filed under the name uncultured bacterium. RNAcentral's name for it is "partial 16S ribosomal RNA". It matches the Rfam family "Bacterial small subunit ribosomal RNA", at positions 29 to 523 of the family's 1533-position model. The record is from RNAcentral.